UGGCCGUCGGGGCGGACGCCCCGUUCCGGGAGGUCGUCGACCUCCUGCGGCGUUGGCGCACCGGUUCCGUCCCGGUGCUGGCCGG
RNAcentral lists this transfer RNA (85 nucleotides) under Kitasatospora phosalacinea. RNAcentral describes it as "tRNA-Asp". Lineage: Bacteria; Bacillati; Actinomycetota; Actinomycetes; Kitasatosporales; Streptomycetaceae. The record is from RNAcentral.